Sus scrofa (pig) is the source of this 4594-nucleotide non-coding RNA. The record is from RefSeq and is a predicted model, not a curated record. NCBI's taxonomy places the organism in Eukaryota, Metazoa, Chordata, Mammalia, Artiodactyla, Suidae.
CACUACUGAAGAGUAGAAAGUAGGCAAAGGGAAAAAAUUGGAGCUUAGUAAAUAAAUCAUGUGUCUCAUCUGAACCAUUUGAUAUACUAAUAUGAGAGAUCUAUAUAAACCAGUUCUUACAAGUAAUACGAACAAAAUAUAGUCAUGUGCUAAGUGUUACUAAGAAUUAAAAAAAGCAAUCAGGAGGGCGGUGCUUUGAAAGAAAAGCCUUUCCAGGAGUUAAGGUCUCAGUUGCACUUUGAAAAUUAGUCAGUGAUUGCUUAGACAAGGGCAUUUCCAAGUCUUAAAAACAGGAUAUUAAAUGGUAGAAGGUUAUAAAAGUGAAUAGAUGUUUGGAAAUUUUACUAGUCAAGUGUGGCUGAAGUGGUCAGAGUUCAAUGUUGGGACAGGGUGUAAUGUGGGAUACAGAUGGUGAAAUAAGUUGAGAGGAGUCCUAAGCCAUGGUAGAGAAUUUAAGCUUGUUUUACAGGAGGAGUUGUACAACUGAAAGGAGCAACACUUUAAUUGCAUUAUAAAACUGCACAAUGAGGCAGUCCUGUUUCAAAAAUACUGAAAACCUGUUCAAGAGGAUCAAAGCAAGGAAUGAUAUAAAUCCAAUUUGUAGCAUAGAAGAUGAUGCUGACAAGAAAGUGGAAUGUUUAUAUAGAAAACUGUCUUGAAAGAAGAGAUAAUAUCUCCUUCCUCAGCGAGGGCAAAUAUACUUACUGUCCAAUAAAAUGAAGACAAUACUUUCCUCCAGAACAAAAGAGGAACAAUUUACCAUAAUCCUGGAGCAAUUCCUACCAGAAAUGUGUUGGAAGAAGUGAAUCCACACAAUGAAAGGAACUGACCCAUGUAGAACACUGUGAUACACCAACGAAUCUCUCUCAAGGAAGGCCUUGUUGAUUCAUAUUCUGGGAGUGUUUUCUGAGCAGAGUCUUCAGCUGUCAGCCCUUCACAGAUUGCCCACAGUCACCCCUUUCUGGGGUGGCUCACAUCCAACAAAUUAUACAUGUAGGAGUAAAAAAGUAUGGUCAUCUUGGCCCAGGGAAAUAUCUUUUACUUUAAUAUGAGAGGUAUUUGAACAUGUUUAAACAUUGGUGGAAAGAAGACAGUAAAAAGCAGGGGAAAUUUCUUCAAAGAGCAGAAGGCAGAAGUGCUAUGAAAUUCACGUUACAGGUGAUAUUGUAACAAAAGGUCAUGUUGUAUUAGUCCUACAUAAUAGGCAAGAUUGACUUCAAUAUUUUCUUAAAAAGCAUCGCCGUUAGCUUUACUGAAUUUAUAAAAUCACAUUUAGAACAUAUUGUAAUAAUUACAUUUGAAUCAUUUAAUAUGGCCUUCAUUUGAAUUUUCUACGCAUCACAAUGAUUUGGUAUUGUCAUCAAGUCAUCCGUAUGAUAGUUUUAACCCCCAAUUCAGGUAUCUGCAACCUCAUAUAAGACUGUAACUAUGCUUAUAUUUUUAUUCAGAUUUUUUUUCCUAUGAAUUUUGACUGACUUAGGCCAUAGUUGUUGGCAAAAAUCUUGCAUUGGCUCCGGGCUUCAUCCCAAAUACUGUCUUUAUGUAGAACUAAAACAAAACUUCUCAUAUGUGGAUCACUGGGGAAUGAGGCUGAUUUGGAUAUAUGGGAAUCCUGAAAGCCUGGCUCUCUUUUCAGCCAUGUGGCCACUUGCUCUCCUCCCUUCUGUUUAGCCCCAUCUCUGCAUUGGGAACUGGUCCCACCACUGUUUCACGCCAAUUCAUCUUUGGAUCCAGCUGGCCCUAACUCUACUGCUAGCUCUAGUUGUUCCAAGUUUUUAUGCCAGACUAAGUCUUCCCUGUCCAAUAUGGUUGGCCCUAUCUUUGUUUCCGGUCUCAAGCCAGACCCAAUUUAUGCAGAUAAACCAGAAAUUUGGGUGUGGAUCAACAGGUUGGGGCAGAUAUUUGGAGUUGUGCUGUAAUCCAUCAAAUUUAGCAACACAUUGUUCAUAAGACGGGCUACAUUGUUUUUUUAAAGGGAAAUCCUUUCCUGUCAUUCUUUUCUCUUCACUGUUUCCAUUUUCCACCGGCUGAAAAAACAAAUGUGGGUGGAUAUGGUCCUGGACAUUCUUUUGAGUUAGACUGGUGCCAUAAAACAUCCCCACCAUGAUAACAUAUUUUGUUUAAAUUUAAAUUUAUCAUAAAGCAUCAGUCAUUUCUAGAAAGUUGCUACCAUACACUUUGGUUUCUCUGACUCCUAGGGAACUCUCAAGCCAAGUAAGAAUGUUGAUAAGCAGUGCAGAAGGAUUCUCUCUGCCAUCUGUACUUUGGGGAUUUUUAGUCUUAAACAUCCAGCAGACAAUUAGGUAACUUGUUUGAAAUACAAAGCAAAGUUGUAACUGCAAAGACUCCCAGUGCCCCUCUUCUUAUCCUGCCAGUGUUGAAGCCAUUUUUUUUAAAAAAAGUCAAAUUUGAAGAUAAGUGAAGUAAUAUUUUACUGGAAUAUAAUAAUGAUGCUAAUACAGCUAUUUCAGUCUAUUUUAUAAAUAUAUUGCUCACCUUUAUUACAUAAAUCUUAUUUAAGUAACAAUGCAAAUGCAAAUUAAAUAAAUCAAAUGAUUCUAUUUAAAGACACUCUAAUGAUUUAUAAAAGGAGUUCUUUGAGAACCUAUAGAAACUAAAUUAAAUAUACCUAUAUGUAUCAAUUUGUGAAAUAAGUAUAUUUUUUUGCCUUCCUUAAAGCCAGGUUUAAAAAAAAAACAGGCCAGAAUUUUCACCAUCUGUUUCUAAACUGCACAGAUGGUUGCAAAUUUAAAUCUGUUGUAAAAGUGUAUUGCUUACUGUUCUGUCUACAGAGUUUUCUGAUAAAGUGUCAAAUAAAACAAUCGAUAGUUAAUAGUACCAAUAACUUCAACUACCUAAAUGUGGUAUUAGAACCCACUGACCCAUGCAGAAUCUUAGUCUUUUCCUGAGUUAAAUCCCUGAUAGUUGCUGCUCGGCUAGUUUUUUCCCCCUAGAUUCAAAAUAUUCUGCCAGGCAAAUUUCCAUGUGUCCCAUUACCCAAAUUAAAUGUGUUCAAUAUUAAAGUGGCGAUGUAGCAUACAUAAUUGAAUGGCAUGAUAUGAAAUUUACAUACAUAAGGGUACCUAUAAUUGUUCGCUGUGAGAAGUAAUACUUUCUUAUCGCUGAUAUGAAAUUGAAAAUAUAAAUUGAUCUAUACCAAUUUAGUCACCUACGGCUAUUUUCGUUUGUGUGUUGGUUUUGUUUUGUGUGGUAAUGGUAGUUGAGGGAAAGAAUUAGCUACCCCACAACUAGUUUGCAAUUUGGAAGAGUCAGCAACCAAAUCUUGCCACAUAUAACAAACAGCACACACGUACUGCAAAGCAGAAAAAUAGUUAUAAGUCUUGUUCUUUAAACUUGAUGUAGCUUUGACUUUUUAUCUCUUUUUCUUUCCUGGUCCUUGGCAACCUUGACAAACACUUUUUCUAAAGUUUCCACCUGAAUAAAAUUUAACAGCAUUCAAGUUUAAGGAUUCAGCUGAACAUGUACUUGAGUCAGGAGACCAUGAAUCCUUUAAAGUAGGCAAAGGACAUAAAAUCCUUUACAGUUUAAGCAUGGAUCACUUUCCCUAAAUAUAGAGGCCAAUGGACUUGUUCGCUUCUUAUGCCCCAUUUAUGUGUGUAUGUGAGGAAUGUCUGUCUGAUAUUUUAUUCAACUUACAUUUCUUAACUAUAUCACCAAUAAGAUGACUGGGGUAUAUAUAUAUAUUUUGCUAUAUAUUAUCCUAGUAAACAGUCCAUUAAUUAUCCACAAAAAAUUUAUUUCUAACAUUCAUUGUGUGGAUAGCAGAACCUCUGGCAUAAUGUUGAGUUGGAAAGCUGCCUUCUUCUUCUGAGUGCUACUUCACUACCCCUGGCAUGUAAAUUUCUGAUUACUCACUGAGGGUAUAAUAUAAACCAUCUAUCUACACAUUUAUAUACCCUACACAUUUAUCACUAGACUAGUUUGGCUGUAUUUGGAGGGAGGGAAAGCAUCUUAUAUACCAAGUAGACCCUUUAUUGGCAUCUUAAUUUUCUUGAAAUUCUUUCUCCCCUUCCUCCUCCUUGUGAAAGAUACUGAAGAACUGAAAAAAUUUAGCUGACUCUAGCAAGAUCUUAGCCCCUUGAUCCUACCCUCUUCCUGAUCAUAAAUCAACCAGUUAACUGCAGUCUUAGGCUUAAGGUCUUGCAACCUGUCCCAUCAUGAAUGCAUCCUUUCGUUCCCUGUGCCUUCCGAGAAUUUUAACAGUAGCAAUUCUGGAAACAGAACUGGACUUUGAUCUUCCUCAGUUUGUUCUGUAAAAUCUUUAAGCAUCUUAUUUCUCUGUAGAAUAUUUAUUUUGAACUAUUUUCACUUUGUGACAUUAUUAAUAGAUAAUCGAGCCAACAGUUAUUGCUUAGUUUUUCUCCUUCCUUUUUGGUAAAGAUUUUCUAUAUGUGUAGUUGCCUCUGUAUUUAUUGCAGCUAGUGUAAAGAAAAAGAUAUUAUGUUUCUGAAUACUCUAUAAUGUAUUUAUUAAUAAAGACUGAUAUAGUGCUCAUCACACACUGUUGUGAGACAUGUUUUUAUAAUAUUUUCUUAGCCUCUUUGCUGAAAACUCCAUCUUGUCCUUCCUUACU